UGGGGAAAAUUGCGCAAUGGGCGAAAGCCUGACGCAGCCAUGCCGCGUGUGUGAAGAAGGCCUUAGGGUUGUAAAGCACUUUCAAUUGGGAAGAAAGGUUGCGUGUUAAUAGCACGUAGCUGUGACGUUACCUUUAGAAGAAGCACCGGCUAACUCCGUGCCAGCAGCCGCGGUAAU
RNAcentral lists this ribosomal RNA (177 nucleotides) under uncultured bacterium. RNAcentral's name for it is "partial 16S ribosomal RNA". It matches the Rfam family "Bacterial small subunit ribosomal RNA", at positions 355 to 524 of the family's 1533-position model. The record is from RNAcentral.